Molecule: ribosomal RNA, 465 nt
Filed under: uncultured bacterium
Lineage: Bacteria
Description: partial 16S ribosomal RNA
Rfam family: Bacterial small subunit ribosomal RNA
Source: RNAcentral
CUACGGGAGGCAGCAGUGGGGAAUAUUGCACAAUGGGCGCAAGCCUGAUGCAGCCAUGCCGCGUGUAUGAAGAAGGCCUUCGGGUUGUAAAGUACUUUCAGCGGGGAGGAAGGGGGUAAAGUUAAUACCUUUGCUCAUUGACGUUACCCGCAGAAGAAGCACCGGCUAACUCCGUGCCAGCAGCCGCGGUAAUACGGAGGGUGGCAAGCGUUAAUCGGAAUUACUGGGCGUAAAGCGCACGCAGGCGGUUUGUUAAGUCAGAUGUGAAAUCCCCGGGCUCAACCUGGGAACUGCAUCUGAUACUGGCAAGCUUGAGUCUCGUAGAGGGGGGUAGAAUUCCAGGUGUAGCGGUGAAAUGCGUAGAGAUCUGGAGGAAUACCGGUGGCGAAGGCGGCCCCCUGGACGAAGACUGACGCUCAGGUGCGAAAGCGUGGGGAGCAAACAGGAUUAGAUACCCCAGUAGUC